This 24-nucleotide small RNA is filed under the name Arabidopsis thaliana (thale cress). RNAcentral's name for it is "ATSL003180". Lineage: Eukaryota; Viridiplantae; Streptophyta; Magnoliopsida; Brassicales; Brassicaceae. The record is from RNAcentral.
GAGAGAGGAGAGGAUGGUAGAAGU